AGGGUUCGAUUCUGGCUCAGGAUGAACGCUGGCGGCGUGCCUAAUACAUGCAAGUCGAACGAGGUAGCAAUACCGAGUGGCGAACGGGUGAGUAACACGUAGGUAACCUGCCCUUAAGCUUGGGAUACCCAGAGGAAACUUUGGCUAAUACCGGAUAACAACAGAGAAGGCAUCUUCUUUGCUUGAAAGGCCCCUUCAAGGGUCACUUAAGGAUGGACCUGCGGCGCAUUAGCUAGUUGGUGAGAUAACAGCCCACCAAGGCGAGGAUGCGUAGCCGAACUGAGAGGUUGAUCGGCCACAUUGGAACUGAGACACGGUCCAAACUCCUACGGGAGGCAGCAGUAAGGAGUUUUCGGCAAUGGGGGAAACCCUGACCGAGCAACGCCGCGUGAGCGAUGACGGCCCUAUGGGUUUGUAAAGCUCUGUUGUAAGCCAUGAAUGACAGCUUGAGGAAAUGCAAGUUGUUUGACGACAGCUUACCAGAAAGCCACGGCUAACUACGUGCCAGCAGCCGC
RNAcentral lists this ribosomal RNA (515 nucleotides) under uncultured bacterium. RNAcentral's name for it is "bacterial SSU rRNA". It matches the Rfam family "Bacterial small subunit ribosomal RNA", at positions 8 to 518 of the family's 1533-position model. The record is from RNAcentral.